RNAcentral lists this long non-coding RNA (543 nucleotides) under Rattus norvegicus (Norway rat). RNAcentral's name for it is "long non-coding RNA NONRATT012163". The record is from RNAcentral. Lineage: Eukaryota; Metazoa; Chordata; Mammalia; Rodentia; Muridae.
AAAAAAAAAAAAAUCAGUUAUUUUCCAUCAUAUGUAAAAAACAAAAGCAACUCUCUUCCCGUGGGAGGCGAAUGCUGGUCGGGAGAGAAGCCAGAGAUAGUUCGUGGCUCUGCUUCAGAGAAAAGCUGUCACCACUGUGGCUGUCAUGAUUGGUUUGCAAAAUGCAGGUUUGCUGGAACGAACUCAAUUUAAUAUCUCUUCAAUUUUUAAUUCUGUUCCACACUUGUCACCGCUGCUGCUGUGACCCAGCCCCUUCCGUGCACUCUCUCUCCUCUCCUGCACAGCUGCCGCUGCCCCUGUCAGGAUCCCUCCUGCCGAUCUGCAUCGCCUCUCCCGCCCCCGAAAACACUGUCCACCUCCAUUUAUCCCACCCACUCUCUGGGGCACCGGGACUUAUCUGCUGUGGCAGCAGGGACCGAAGCCAUCAGGAGUUUCUAAUAGGCCGGGAUGACAUUUUCGCCUCUUGUCAUUUCUACACCCCACUAAUAUUUUCAGGUGCUUUUCCAUCCUGAAUGCACCCAGCUCCGAAAAAAAAAAAACAAA